CCAGUUGGCUGGGCAGCCGCGCUUUAUCAAUGCCGAAAGGCGGUAGGGUGAGGAAAGUCCGGGCUCCACGGAAACACGGUGCCGGAUAACGUCCGGCGAGGGCGACCUCAGGGAAAGUGCCACAGAAAGCAAACCGCCUGUCAUGACAGGUAAGGGUGAAAGGGUGGGGUAAGAGCCCACCGCAUCUCCGGCAACGGAAAUGGCACGGUAAACCCCACCGGGAGCAAGACCGAAUAGGGAUGACGCGGCAGGCCGAAAGGCCUUCCGGCCGGUUUCCAGGCCAGUCAUCCGGGUGGGUUGCGCGAGGCAGCGUGCGAACGCUGUCCCAGAGGAAUGGCUGCCACGUUCCGGUUCACGCCGGAGCCAUACAGAACCCGGCUUACAGGCCAACUGGCGAU
This 398-nucleotide RNase P RNA is filed under the name Rhizobium leguminosarum. Its description in RNAcentral is "RNase P class A". It matches the Rfam family "Bacterial RNase P class A". From Rfam's summary of the family: Ribonuclease P (RNase P) is a ubiquitous endoribonuclease, found in archaea, bacteria and eukarya as well as chloroplasts and mitochondria. Its best characterised activity is the generation of mature 5'-ends of tRNAs by cleaving the 5'-leader elements of precursor-tRNAs. Cellular RNase Ps are ribonucleoproteins. Lineage: Bacteria; Pseudomonadati; Pseudomonadota; Alphaproteobacteria; Hyphomicrobiales; Rhizobiaceae. RNAcentral also lists the same sequence under 4 other names. The record is from RNAcentral.